This 281-nucleotide long non-coding RNA is filed under the name Mus musculus (house mouse). RNAcentral's name for it is "predicted gene, 47501". The record is from RNAcentral. Lineage: Eukaryota; Metazoa; Chordata; Mammalia; Rodentia; Muridae.
UGUGGUACUAGGAAAGAUGCUAAAAUUCUCUGAUAAUGCCAUUUAUCACUUUGACAGAAUUUAGAAUCACCUGGCACAUGGUCCUCUGGGCAAGUCUAUAAGCGUCAUCUUGACUGUCUUCACCGAGGUGUGAAGAUCUACUCAUUGUGAGCAGCACCAUUCCCUGGCUGGAAUAAUGCACUAUACAAAUGGAGGCAGAAUGUGAAGACUUUAAAGUUACGUCCUUUAGAGGAGCAGAAGGUCUACAGGAUAUCCUGGUGUCUUCCCAGGGAUGUGUGGGG